RNAcentral lists this ribosomal RNA (253 nucleotides) under uncultured bacterium. RNAcentral's name for it is "partial 16S ribosomal RNA". It matches the Rfam family "Bacterial small subunit ribosomal RNA", at positions 524 to 776 of the family's 1533-position model. The record is from RNAcentral.
UACGGAGGGUGCGAGCGUUGUCCGGAAUCACUGGGCGUAAAGGGCGCGUAGGCGGCGCGGGAAGUCAUCGGUGAAAGUUCAGGGCUCAACUCUGAAUCGGCCGGUGAUACUCUCGUGCUUGAGCACUGUAGAGGCAGGUGGAAUUCCGGGUGUAGCGGUGGAAUGCGUAGAGAUCCGGAAGAACACCAGUGGCGAAGGCGACUUACUGGUCCAUGACUGACGCUGAGGCUCGAAAGCGUGGGGAGCAAACAGG